GUCCAGGAGCCAACAGCCUCUCUGUGCAAACCAGACAACCCUGCAGGAACUGUGCUUGAAGAAACCGUGGAAACUGCCCCCAACCCUCCCGUCUCUAUUUCUUUCUCUGUUUUAUUAUCUCAUUCUUGGCUGUGAGGUAAACAGGAGAAAAUGAGAAGGUGGUUCUGGAGGACCCGACCGAAUUUGCUUUCGUGACAGGGUCAAGCGCCCUUUCCUCGCCGGCCGCAGCCCUCACCAAAGGGGAUUUGGGGGCCUCCGGACAGGGGUCCUGAAGGUUUUGAAUUGUUCAAUCUCUGGGGGUACAGGAACCCCUGCAGGAGGUUUCAAAGGCAAGAGUUUCGCAGAGAGAAAAAAACCAUGAACUUUGCAGGUUGGUGGCGGAAUCUGGUGAUUUAAGAAAACGUGUUUAAGCCUCGGCCGGGCCGCGCCUGGGCUGUCUGCGGUGCUCUUCCGGAAUUCUCUACAAUAUCUGGAAGUGACCAAGAAAAUUCCAGAACCCGGAGGCUGCGCCGUGGAGAUAAACAUGGGCACCUGGGAAGGAACUGCUGGACCAGCAGAAUGAGGGGCCAACGCCAGGGGCAGCACUGCCCGGCCACAGAGGACUGUGGCCCCACAGAUGACACCCUCAGCUACCAGCUCCUGCAUCUGGAAGAUGACCAGGAGGAGGAAGGACGGUCUGCAAGUGUUCAAAGUGAUGUUUCCAGGCCGGGCGCGCUUGUAAUACCAGCAUUUGGGAGGCUGAGGCAGGCGGAUCACCUGAGGUCGGGAGUUCGAGACCAGCCUGACCAACGUGGAGAAACCCCGUCUCUACUAAAAAUACAAAAUUAGCCAGGCGUGGUGGCGCAGCUACUCGGGAGGCUGAGGCAGGAGAAUCGCUUGAACCCGGGAGGCGGAGGUUGCGGUGAGCUGAGAUUGUGCCAUUGCACUCCAGCCUGGGCAACAAGAGUGAAACUCCGUCUGAAAAAAAAAAAACCUCUAUAACAUCCAAAAUACUAACCACUUGUUACCUCUAGAUUGUUUGGGGAUGUUAGAUUUCUCCUUUGUUGCCAGCUCUUUUAUUUUUAUUUAUUUAUUUAUUAUUAUUAUUAUUAUUAUUAUUAUUAUUAUUAUUUUGAGAUGGAGUCUUGUUCUGUUGCCCAGGAUGGAGUGCAGUGGUGUGAUCUCGGCUCACUGCAACCUCCGCCUCCUGGGUUUGAGCAAUUCUCCUGCCUCAGCCUCCCGAGUAGCUGGGACUACACGCGUGUGCCACCACGCCAGGCUAAUUUUUGUAUUUUUAGUAGAGACGGGGUUUUGCCAUGUUGGCCAGGAUGGUCAGGAACUCCCCAACUCUUAUUUUUAAAUGUUGGGCCACACAAGUCUGGGAAAUGUUAGUUUUCAAACACAUCAGGGAAUAAAUGGAUACAAAAGUCUUGAGGACCACUUAA
This is a non-coding RNA of Homo sapiens (human), 1424 nucleotides long. Lineage: Eukaryota; Metazoa; Chordata; Mammalia; Primates; Hominidae. The record is from RefSeq and is a predicted model, not a curated record.